UUCCUGCUCCUGAGCUCAGGGUAGAUUCAGCUCCUCUAGAAGUCCAUGGACUGACAGCAUUAGUGGAAGUUCCCAAGCAGGAAGCUGGGCAUGAUUAAAUGGAUGCCAACAACUAAAAACUCAAAAGUCUGCUUCACAGCCAAAUCCAGUGUCUAAAUCCACAUCACCAAAAGGUACCCAUAGGCUUCCUCGUCUGGUCCUCCAAGAUUGCUGCUGCCAGUCAAAAGCUCCAAUCUCACAUGUUGCAGGAACCUCUGUGCCAGUCCCCACAAGGAGGUCAGGCUGCUUCUCUGAUGAGAAGAAGCUCGCCACCUGGCAAAGCCUCCUGCUUCCAUUUUUACAGAUUACAGACCUUAUUUGCUGAAAGUCACACAAUGGACCUAUGUACUGUGGAACUGGCACUACAACUCUGGUCCCUCAAAGCCCAGAGUGCAGAUUUUCCCACAGUGCCACGGGGCUGCUGCAUGGGAUGCUUGUCCCCCAGGCCUGGCCACACUUGAGGGAAUACUCAUCAUCCGCUUGGCAGGUAGGGGCUUCGCACCAUUUUCUGGGUGAGCAACUGUGUUUAUUACUGUGUGUUGGCUGACAGAGGGCUAUAGCUAAUAACGAAGUUUUUCUUCACUCACAUUCACUUUGACACUUCAAGCGUCUCUGUCCAAACCCAGCUAGACCCUUCCCUCUACACCCA
This is a long non-coding RNA of Sapajus apella (tufted capuchin), 688 nucleotides long. RefSeq lists it as uncharacterized. NCBI's taxonomy places the organism in Eukaryota, Metazoa, Chordata, Mammalia, Primates, Cebidae. The record is from RefSeq and is a predicted model, not a curated record. The transcript has 3 exons.